Molecule: ribosomal RNA, 650 nt
Filed under: Streptomyces noursei
Lineage: Bacteria; Bacillati; Actinomycetota; Actinomycetes; Kitasatosporales; Streptomycetaceae
Description: bacterial SSU rRNA
Rfam family: Bacterial small subunit ribosomal RNA
Source: RNAcentral
GUCGCGGCCUUAAUCAGCUUGUUGGUGAGGUAGUGGCUCACCAAGGCGACGACGGGUAGCCGGCCUGAGAGGGCGACCGGCCACACUGGGACUGAGACACGGCCCAGACUCCUACGGGAGGCAGCAGUGGGGAAUAUUGCACAAUGGGCGAAAGCCUGAUGCAGCGACGCCGCGUGAGGGAUGACGGCCUUCGGGUUGUAAACCUCUUUCAGCAGGGAAGAAGCGAGAGUGACGGUACCUGCAGAAGAAGCGCCGGCUAACUACGUGCCAGCAGCCGCGGUAAUACGUAGGGCGCGAGCGUUGUCCGGAAUUAUUGGGCGUAAAGAGCUCGUAGGCGGCUUGUCACGUCGGAUGUGAAAGCCCGGGGCUUAACCCCGGGUCUGCAUUCGAUACGGGCAGGCUAGAGUUCGGUAGGGGAGAUCGGAAUUCCUGGUGUAGCGGUGAAAUGCGCAGAUAUCAGGAGGAACACCGGUGGCGAAGGCGGAUCUCUGGGCCGAUACUGACGCUGAGGAGCGAAAGCGUGGGGAGCGAACAGGAUUAGAUACCCUGGUAGUCCACGCCGUAAACGUUGGGAACUAGGUGUGGGCGACAUUCCACGUCGUCCGUGCCGCAGCUAACGCAUUAAGUUCCCCGCCUGGGGGAGUACGGAA